This 387-nucleotide ribosomal RNA is filed under the name uncultured eukaryote. RNAcentral's name for it is "partial 18S ribosomal RNA". It matches the Rfam family "Eukaryotic small subunit ribosomal RNA", at positions 592 to 976 of the family's 1831-position model. The record is from RNAcentral.
CAAUAGCGUAUAUUAACGUUGUUGCAGUUAAAAAGCUCGUAGUUGGAUUUCUGACAGGAGUGACCGGUCCGAGUCGCAAGACUCGUGUACUUUUGUGUCUUACUCUAGUCAUCCUUAUGGAGAUUGUGUUUCGGCAUUGAGUUGUCGGGCAUAGGACCCAUAUCGUUUACUGUGAAAAAAUUAGAGUGUUUAAAGCAGGCAAUUGCUGUGAAUACAUUAGCAUGGAAUAAUAAGAUAGGACUUUGGUGCUAUUUUGUUGGUUUGCCACCAAGGUAAUGAUUAAGAGGGACAGUUGGGGGUAUUCGUAUUUAAUUGUCAGAGGUGAAAUUCUUGGAUUUAUGAAAGACGAACUACUGCGAAAGCAUUUACCAAGGAUGUUUNCAUUAA